This 2802-nucleotide long non-coding RNA is filed under the name Sus scrofa (pig). Its description in RNAcentral is "lncRNA (ENSSSCG00035040396.1)". The record is from RNAcentral. Lineage: Eukaryota; Metazoa; Chordata; Mammalia; Artiodactyla; Suidae.
ACCGCCACCAUGUUGGACUGAGCAUCUUGCGCAGCUUCUGGAAAGACGGACUGACUCGCGGAGCUGAAGUGCUCUCGUAGCCGUUUCCCAUCAGGAACUCUGGCCUGAGGCACCAGGUGCGAGGCCUCUGCGUGCGGCCUUCUGUGAGCUUGUGAAACAGACCAAGCACAAAGGAAAAGAAACAGGAUCCUGCUGGCAACGGCGUGAUGACACGUUUCUGCUGACAGCUCUGAACUUUCAGGCAGAAUCUCUGUGAAUAAGGUGAGAGGGAGGCUUUAAUUAACGCCCUCAGACGGGGAAUGAAAACACCGAGCAGGAAGGUUGUGAGAUGGAUCUGGCUGUCAAAACGAAAUGAAAUAAAAACCCCAAAGUGUUCUGCCCCAACAAGCAGCCCUGCCUCGUGCUGCUGGGCCCUGACCCUCUCCCAGGCCUGGGCCAUGACCCUGGAGUCUGCGGAGAGAUGCUUCAUUUGGAAGGAAUCGAUGAAGCAACUUGCCACAGAAAUCUCCUACCAAGGGCACCCUGUGCCUCACUCCUCUCUCUGCCCUGAGGGCUGCUUUCAAAUCCCUGAUGAUCUCAAAUUCCCUAGAAAGGGCUCGAAAAUAUCCCUCCGUAAUUAUGCCCCAGUGAGGAACUAUCAGCCUGGGAAAGAGGACUCCGAAAGAAUCCCUGAAGUCAGGCCUGGCCAUUGUGUCUGUUUUUAGAGUUCGAUGAGAAAUUCAUGUUACACUUCAGGAAACCUCUUUGGAAGAGACAUAUUUCAGAAUCAGAAUAUGACUUUGAACACAGCCUGAGAAAUCCAAUAUCGUACAGCAGGGAGAUGUCAGCACCGAGGUUCAAGGACAGCUGACGAGGUAGCAUGUUUCGUCACCCCACUCUGUCUGGAGUGAUCCCUGCCCUUCUCACUAAUAGACUCACGCUCUUCUCUCCAUGUGAAAACAAGUCCCAAGCUUUAUCAUUUUCAACAAGGAUCUGUGGACCACUUAGGAUCUGCCAGGCAUUGCCUUAGGAACUGGAAAUCCAGAGGUUACUUUAAAAGCAAAAUCCUUGUCUUCGUAAAAGCAGAUGCACCGUAUGAACCUCAGCUGCUCCACUGAAGGUGCGCAAAGCAAUCUGUACUUACGCAGAAAGGAUAUGCCCUUGGCUCUGAUCUUACUUCUCUGUUCAUCUCAGGUUUGCUGUCCGGUCUCACCCUGACUGUAAAUUCCUCAAGGGCAUGAACCACAGCCUCCUUUGGUCUCUCUUGGUGCCACAUAUGGAGCCAUGUCCCCGUGACCACUCAAAACCCAUGACGGGCAUCCAGACACUCAGAUAACCUCCUAGGUGAUGUGCUCUGACACAGAGAGCAUGUGCUGUUGGGCUUGCUGUUUAUAUUUUUGGAACCUGAGUCAGCGUGCUUGCAUAGAAUGGCCAAGAAAACAAAGCGAGGGGUCAGGCUGAGACAAGACUGGGAAUCUUACUUCCCAAAUUCCUGACUUAAAGAAAACAGUGGGGACGAGACAGGAGAGUCUCUCACCCGUCAAGAGUGCGUGACUGAGGGUGACCUCGAAAGGUCUCAAGCGAUCUGAAAUGUUGUUAUUGGUAAGAAUUAUGCCUACACAUGAUCAGCGCUUUAUACCUUGCAUUUAGUCAUUCAUUCAAGAACAAACCUCACUGUGUGGCAGAACCACCAGAAUAGGAUGCCUGCCUUCAAGGAUCUGGGCUCUUUGCUGAUUUGAUCUUCUAAGAUCGCUUCAGGACAGUUUGGCAGCCCCCAUCACCCCUGGGGAAUAAAGCCUAAGGUUUCCAACUUCAGACUUUGGGAUUUAACCGCAAAGCAUAGGGUAACAUGAUGAGCUCUUCCAGCUUCGCUGUAUUCAUAAUAGUGUUCAAAGCAUCAUCCAUCUUAGGGGGCAUAAGAGUCAAGGUUGAGCAUAAAGGGAUUCAUCGUAGGAACUGGCUGACGUCAUUGUGGGCAUGGGCUAAGCGUGAGUGAAGUUCCCAGGGAAACAGUCGGGAAAGGUGCCAGUGGGCUGGAAGCCCACGGACAAAGGCUGAUGCUGGCUGUCCAUCUGCAGGCAGCCGUGUAGAAGGAUGGUCCAGGGGAAAGGAGAGCACCAGACACCAAGCAGCUGGUCGGCAUCUCUGAGCCCGUUUCAAUAAACGCCUUGCAACUGAUAAAAUCAGGCCGCCCAAGUAACCUCCCCUCUGAUUAGCAGGAAGUCAGCUGAUCAGGGACUUUAAUUAUAUCUGCAAAAUCCCUUCACGGCAACGCAUGCACUGGUCUUCGGCUGAACAACCGGGAAAGAUUUGUGUGCUGCAAAACACCCCCUGCCUCACAAUCCAGCUCCCAAGAGAAUAUCACUCCCAGCCCAUCCUCCCCUGAACUCAGGAGAAAGAGACACAGGGUCAGUCCCUGUUGAGGUGACUCAGCAAAAAGACAUCCCGUGAGGUUAUCAUGAAGCUUAAGGAGAUGGUACACAUAAAAUGCCUGGAGAACACAUAGCAGGUGGAACUGCCAUUUAGCAGAUGAGAAAGUCAAGCUCAGAAAAUAGGCAAAUAGGAGUUCCCGUCGUGGCGCAGUGGUUAACGAAUCCGACUAGGAACCAUGAGGUUGUGGGUUCGGUCCCUGCCCGUGCUCAGUGGGUUAACGAUCCGGCGUUGCCGUGAGCUGUGGUGUAGGUUGCAGACGCAGCUCGGAUCCCAAGUUGCUGUGGCUCUGGCGUAGGCGGGUGGCUACAGCUCCGAUUCAACCCCUAGCCUGGGAACCUCCAUAUGCCGCAGGAGCGGCCCAAGAAAUAGCAACAACAACAACAACAACAA